UUGAGCCUAUCCAGCUUCUUGUAGGUACUACAACAUAUAUAAAAGGUUGCACAUAUGUCAGCAAGUGACUAUUACCAUAUCCAAAUUCACAACCUUUAAGUCCUCCUAUCAAAAUAUUGCCUAUUGGUCUAAGAAGCCUGAAAUUAGAAAAGCAAAAAAAAACAAAUAAACCAAGGACAAACAAAGAAGAGAGAAGAAACCUGAGGAUGAUGGUGGUAGCGUGGUAAAGAGAGAAGAAGUUGUUAUACCUAGGAGAAGAAGAAGAAGAAGAAGAGGAUGCGAGAUUGUAGGACUAUAUAUGCCUCCUUCUUCGACACGAUCGAGGUUUCUCAUCAGUCCGUGGUUUCCAAAACGCCAUCUUUUUCGCCCAAGAGCUUUUUGGCUUCUUCGGUUUAUGUAUCGGCUCGUUCUCUCUUAUUCAUGAAAGUCUACUUGGAUCAUCGGCGAGCCUCUCUCUCUGUAUGAGAAUUGCAUAAAGAACAAGAUGGUUUUUUUCUUCUCUGGUUUUGGUUUCGAAGAUGAAGAAAAGAGAAUGAGUGAUGAUGUUGGAGAUUGAUUAGCCUUCACUUGAGUAUUUUAUAGGCACAACGUUCUUCGAUUUUUUUUUUUAAAAAGGAAACUUUCGAUUGUUUCCUUUUUUUUCUUCGACGGUUAAUUCUUUUUAUUAUUUGGAGUUGAGAAAAGAAAAAAAAAUGGAUCUCUGAGAACGUUCGAGAGAUCUGGAUCGUUUAUUGAGAUCGCACGGUGAUAAUCUAAUCUUAACGGUAAGAUUAUGUGGGACCGGGACGAUCUAUUUAUCAUUAUACCUCUCUCUCUCUCGGUCGUUCCAAACAAACACAUGUUCAUUAUGGAGAAGGAAAGAAGAGAUGGAGAUGAUGAUUCUGAACCAAAUCUCAAGAAACUGUUUAUAAUGGACAUGAUGAUGUUGGUGUUGGAAUCAGACCUUGAUUAAUACUCAAACU
This 962-nucleotide long non-coding RNA is filed under the name Arabidopsis lyrata. RNAcentral's name for it is "long non-coding RNA (ALYR_LNC000111)". Lineage: Eukaryota; Viridiplantae; Streptophyta; Magnoliopsida; Brassicales; Brassicaceae. The record is from RNAcentral.